RNAcentral lists this ribosomal RNA (497 nucleotides) under uncultured bacterium. RNAcentral describes it as "partial 16S ribosomal RNA". It matches the Rfam family "Bacterial small subunit ribosomal RNA", at positions 28 to 507 of the family's 1533-position model. The record is from RNAcentral.
GAUGAACGCUGGCGGCGUGCCUAAUACAUGCAAGUCGAGCGAACAGACGAGGCGCUUGCUCCUCUGACGUUAGCGGCGGACGGGUGAGUAACACGUGGAUAACCUACCUAUAAGACUGGGAUAACUUCGGGAAACCGGAGCUAAUACCGGAUAAUAUAUUGAACCGCAUGGUUCAAUAGUGAAAGACGGUUUUGCUGUCACUUAUAGAUGGAUCCGCGCCGCAUUAGCUAGUUGGUAAGGUAACGGCUUACCAAGGCAACGAUGCGUAGCCGACCUGAGAGGGUGAUAGGCCACACUGGAACUGAGACACGGUCCAGACUCCUACGGGAGGCACCAGUAGGGAAUCUUCCGCAAUGGGCGAAAGCCUGACGGAGCAACGCCGCGUGAGUGAUGAAGGUCUUCGGAUCGUAAAACUCUGUUAUUAGGGAAGAACAAAUGUGUAAGUAACUAUGCACGUCUUGACGGUACCUAAUCAGAAAGCCACGGCUAACUACGUG